Molecule: transfer RNA, 88 nt
Filed under: Klebsiella pneumoniae
Lineage: Bacteria; Pseudomonadati; Pseudomonadota; Gammaproteobacteria; Enterobacterales; Enterobacteriaceae
Description: tRNA-OTHER
Rfam family: tRNA
About the family: Transfer RNA (tRNA) molecules are approximately 80 nucleotides in length.
Source: RNAcentral
GCUGAUAUGGCUCAGUUGGUAGAGCGCACCCUUGGUAAGGGUGNNGGUAAGGGUGAGGUCCCCAGUUCGACUCUGGGUAUCAGCACCA